Rhinopithecus roxellana (golden snub-nosed monkey) is the source of this 1043-nucleotide long non-coding RNA. RefSeq lists it as uncharacterized. The transcript has 5 exons. NCBI's taxonomy places the organism in Eukaryota, Metazoa, Chordata, Mammalia, Primates, Cercopithecidae. The record is from RefSeq and is a predicted model, not a curated record.
CUUUGGUCAGGCUAAAAAUGAUUCUCUGGUGUACAGUGGUACAAAUGUUUGCAUCUAUGUCUCGGUGGCAGCUGAAAACCAGUUCUGAUUCAGGACUUGGGAUGUUGAUUACCUCUGGCUUGGCACUGCAGCCCUCCCAAAACUUCCCCCUGACUAACCCAGUAAAUUUCCUGCAGAACUGAUGCUUUUCCUCAAAUUCUCCUCUCAUAAUAGUGAUGGCUUUGGACCCCCCGUGUAAAGCUGUUAUGUAACUGCUCUCACGGAGAGGAGAUCAUUUCCUGGCCCCAAAGGAGUUCUCGGAAUACUGAGAGAACAUGUUACGAGAUGGACCCCAAAAGAAGAGCAUCUGGUUGCCCUAAGUAUAAUGCUCGCAGCAGAGAAAUCACCAUAAAUAGCUUUAACAGAGACCAAAUGUGAAGAAGCACUCAUAUGGCAUGGAACGGAUAAGAUAUUUUAGUGCACUGUAAAAGGUGCACCUCACUCUAUGAGGAGGAUGGCAGAAAACACCAAUGUACCACCACUGCUGGAGGCUUUGCGUAUGUCCUGGCAUCACCAAAAUCCUCUUGCUUUGGAAAAUUAAGCUGAACUGUGAAAUUUGAUCACAGUAUCCACUGGAGGAAUCUAUUUUAACUAUCCUGAAUCCACUCUCCAGAGAAGUCCUUACUUGUCAGAUGUCUUAUGGACCAAGUUGCAAGUAUUUCAAUUUAGAUAAUGUGGCAUAAAUGGAAUAAUUAAAAAAUAAAUAGAGCCUGGCACAUGGGCAAAACUGAGACUUUUUUCUUAUUUGUCUUCCAAACUAUUCUUUUCAGAUCGGAUCAUGUGUAGACAUUUAAAUCAGAAAUAGCUUGAGUGUUUCCCCUGCUGCAGUCCUACCAUUCUUAUAAUGAAAGAGCUAACUGCCAUCUUCACCAGCACAUUACAGCAUGCAAACAAUCCAAGCCUUACUACAGAUGAUUGAUUGAGCCACUAAAGGCAUCAAAAUCCUCUAAUUGAGCUGUCUGAACAAUAUCAAACGCCCACAGAGAUGUGGUGGGAAAAGAAUU